This 75-nucleotide transfer RNA is filed under the name Pseudomonadota bacterium. RNAcentral's name for it is "tRNA-Thr". It matches the Rfam family "tRNA". From Rfam's summary of the family: Transfer RNA (tRNA) molecules are approximately 80 nucleotides in length. Their secondary structure includes four short double-helical elements and three loops (D, anti-codon, and T loops). Further hydrogen bonds mediate the characteristic L-shaped molecular structure. tRNAs have two regions of fundamental functional importance: the anti-codon, which is responsible for specific mRNA codon recognition, and the 3' end, to which the tRNAs corresponding amino acid is attached (by aminoacyl-tRNA synthetases). tRNAs cope with the degeneracy of the genetic code in two manners: having more than one tRNA (with a specific anti-codon) for a particular amino acid; and 'wobble' base-pairing, i.e. permitting non-standard base-pairing at the 3rd anti-codon position. RNAcentral also lists the same sequence under 1 other name. The record is from RNAcentral. Lineage: Bacteria; Pseudomonadati; Pseudomonadota.
GCCGGCGUAGCUCAAGGGAAGAGCCGCGGAUUUGUAAUCCGCAGGUUGCGGGUUCGAAUCCCGCCGCCGGCUCCA